Molecule: ribosomal RNA, 412 nt
Filed under: Minamitalitrus zoltani
Lineage: Eukaryota; Metazoa; Arthropoda; Malacostraca; Amphipoda; Talitridae
Description: partial 16S ribosomal RNA
Source: RNAcentral
GUAGCAAAAUCAUUUGUUUUUUAAUUGAGAACUGGAAUGAAAGAUUGAACAAAAAACCUUUAUUUUUUUAAAUUUAUUGUAAUUUUUAUUUUAUGUCAAAAUACAUAAAUUAGUAAAAGGGACGAUAAGACCCUAAAAGCUUUAGUAUUAUUUGUUUUUUUUUAUUGUUGUUAUUUAUAAAGUAAAAUAGGUAUUUUGGCUGGGGUAGCAGUUUUUACUACAAAAAUUUUUUGUACAAUUCGGGGAAAAGGUCCUUUAUAUAAGGAUAAUUAGGUUAAGUUACUUUAGGGAUAACAGCAUAAUAAUAACAGGAAGAUCUUAUUUAUGUUAUUGAUUUUGACCUCGAUGUUGAAUUAAAUCUCUUUAUAAAGCAAAAAUUAUAUUUGAAAGUUUGUUCAACUUUUAAAAAUUU